This is a non-coding RNA of Myodes glareolus (Bank vole), 201 nucleotides long. The record is from RefSeq and is a predicted model, not a curated record. NCBI's taxonomy places the organism in Eukaryota, Metazoa, Chordata, Mammalia, Rodentia, Cricetidae.
AGAAGCUCAAGAGGCAGCAAGAUGGUGGGCAGUCCCACUCCUCCUCUUGCUCCUGUGUGUCACAGCCUCCAAGGGAAAGAUCCUGCUCACCCAGUCAGCAGAGUCCCUUCACAUUUCUCCAGGAGAGAGAGUCUCAAUCACCUGCAGGGCCAGUCAGAGCCUCCUCUACACAGAUGGAAAGCACUACUUGUCAUGGUACCA